CAAUAUUCCAUUUACUCAACUGCCACUAGUUGAACAAGCUAAAAUGGGCAUAUAUCAUAUUACAUAUCGCUUUUGAUGAACUGCUGGAACGUGUCUUAUUCCAGUACUUGAAGGAAUAAAUUAUUUUCGGAGAUACUGACGUUUUGCUGAAAGAUGGAGAAGUAGUAGGAAUACCAUAACUCUCCUUUUCUCGAAGGACUCUCUUGUCAUUAUCCCCGAUCGUGUCUGCCAAGCAAUAUGUGUACUACUAUCGAACUGUAGUGAUACGUUAGUUGGAGAUUCCUAUCUGCUACUACUACAACAAUUUACUUGUAGAUAUUCAAACAACUCACGUAUUUAGUGGAGAACGAGAAUCCAGCAGAUUAUAUUUCCUUUUAUUUUCUUUCUUCUCUUUCUCUCUUUUACAUAACAACCUCAUCCAGCUUAAGUGAUUUAUAUAACAAUCAAAGACCCGAAGAAUGCACCUUCCUUUCUCCUCUUUUUUACUUUGUUGAUACCGCUACUAUUUUUUCUUUUUUUUUUGUUAAAGUGUUGUUGCUGUUGUUGAUAUUGUUACUAACGCUUCUGGCUGGAAUUAGUACUGUGAUGGGAACAUAUGAGAAGAAAUAACACACAUAUGCUUUACACAUUUAUAAUUUAUAUACACACGAAUAUAUGUAUGUACAUAUAUGAAAUUUGAUAACACACUUUAAUUCUGGCAUCAAAAGUACUAGCUUUUCGGAUGCGCUUUGCCUUGUCACUGUUAAUUAUCGCUGUCAUCUUUACUCCUACCUGGAAUCUAUAUUGUUCACACCUGACACGUGUGUGUUUUCCGUUCACUAUAAAGAAGUUAAAUCAUUUUUCACAUCACCAUUUUAUUAACAACCUGUUUUUACAACAACAGAUAUGGUUAUUAACAGCGGGUUUCACAAAGUGAAACAACCAAGUUUACUUAAAAGCCUUCACCAAACAGUAACCACCCUUAAUAGGUGCCGCCUCUUACAACUUGACGUUGAACUGUCACUGGUUUGAAGCAGAGAAGUGUUGGAUUGGCCGCUGGAACCUUCUUACCUGCGUCGACUUGUUUAGGCAAUUCAGUCUUUCAAAGCCUAAAUACAUCUAUUUUAGUUUCAUUCUUCAUCCAUAAUGUUCUGUGUUGUGUUUUACUGUGCGAUUCCCGUUUCUCACCACACGAAAUACAAACCUUCACGGAGGGGAUAUGUACACCAAUAUUUUGAUAUAAACAAUAUAACUUAAUUCAAUUACAAUAAUAUCACCAUGCAAACAUGAACAAAAACACCACGAUAAAACAUUUCUUUCUGACUGUUUCGUUCACCAGAUAAUUGAUAAACAAAAUAAACGCGUUUCUAUUCCAUUGCUGGGAUGCGAAGAAAAGGUGACAUUUCAUACAUACAGAAAAAAGUGAAGAUUAAAAGAAAAAUAUUAUUUUGUUUUUAUUCAAGUGUUUUUAAGAAAAGAACAAUUUGAAAUAAGGACAUCCUAAUUUCAAAUCUCUGCGUGUAAAUAUAUAUACAUAUAUAUAUAUGUUGUGAAGGAAAACCAAGCAGCAAGUCCCUCGUUCACCCCAGAUACUGCUCUUUUGUAUAAUAUGUCGCUCACUAAUUGUUCCGACCUUGGUGAUUCAAAAACCAACACCUCCGCCUCUUAUGAUUACAAAUGCGAAGAUCGACAAUGGAAUGUAUUUCUUAUGUCCAGUUUGAUUACCUUCUCAUCGGGGUUAGUUGUUAUUAUUAUAUGUCGGAUAGUUAAUUUACUGUGUUGUCGUCACAGAAACAAUCCAAAUGUCGCGGCGAACAGUAAAUCUCUGGCAGCAGCUGGCCAAGGGGCCGCUGCUACUGGACAGAAACCUUUUCUCAGGACAUCGGACCCUGAAAUCGGGUGGAUGACUGAAGCUAAAGAUUGGGCGGGUGAAUUAAUAUCCGGACAAACUACAACAGGACGAAUCCUGGUUGGUUUGGUGUUUCUGCUCAGUAUUGCAUCAUUAAUCAUCUAUUUCAUAGAUGCAUCAGAUGGACAAGAUGUUGAAUCCUGCAGACCCUGGGCACUGAGUACAACUCAACAAGUUGAUUUAGCAUUCAAUGUGUUUUUUAUGAUAUAUUUUUUUAUUCGGUUUGUUGCUGCAAAUGAUAAACUAUGGUUUUGGCUGGAGCUUUUCUCUUUUGUCGACUAUUUUACAAUUCCACCAUCUUUUGUGGCCAUCUACCUAGACCGAAAUUGGUUAGGUCUCCGCUCCCUGAGAGCUUUACGGCUUGUCUCAAUCCCCGAUAUUCUCCAAUAUCUCAAUAUUUUGAAAACCAGUACAAUGAUCCGGCUGACACAACUCGUGGCAUUUUUUGUAAGCAUGUGGUUGGCUGGAGCUGGUUUCUUGCACCUGAUUGAAAAUUCCGGUGAUCCUUUCUUGGACUUCAAAAAUCCAAACAGUAUGACGUAUUGGGAGUGUUUAUACUUUUUACUGGUUACCAUGUCAACUGUGGGAUUUGGAGAUAUCUAUGCCAAAACAGUUCUCGGCAGAAUAUUUAUUGUACUAUUCAUCCUAUGUUCAUUGGGUAUAUUUACAAGCUUUAUUCCUGAAAUCGCUGAGAUUAUUGGCCGGAGACAGAAGUAUGGCGGAACAUAUAAGAAAGAAAGGGGCAAAAAACAUAUUGUAGUGUGUGGCCAUAUUACAUAUGACUCGGUCUCAAACUUCUUAAAAGAUUUCUUACACAAAGACAGAGAAGACGUGGAUGUAGAGAUUAUUUUUAUUGAUACGCAACUCCCUGAUUUAGAACUUGAAGGGUUGCUUAAGAGGCAUUUUACACAAGUAGAAUUUUUCCAAGGCACGGUUAUGGAUGCCAAUGAUUUAGAAAGAGUAAAGAUUCAGCAGGCAGAUGCAUGUUUGGUGCUAGCAAAUAAAUACUGUGAUGAUCCUGACCAAGAAGAUGCUGCAAACAUCAUGAGAGUAAUCUCAAUCAAGAAUUAUCAUUCAGAGAUUAAAGUUAUUGUCCAGCUGUUGCAGUAUCACAACAAGGCUUACCUGUUAAACAUUCCCAGCUGGGAUUGGAAACGUGGCGAUGAUGCCGUGUGUAUUGCUGAGUUAAAGCUUGGAUUUAUCGCUCAAAGUUGUUUGGCUCCUGGCUUCUCGACACUAAUGGCUAAUUUAUUCACAAUGAGGUCUUACAAGCCAUCUCCUGAUAUGGCACAAUGGCAGAAUGAUUACAUGAGAGGUACUGCAAUGGAAAUGUACACAGAAUAUCUGUCCAGUUCAUUUAGUGGGAUGACAUUUCCAGAAGCAGCAGAGUUAUGUUUCACGAAACUGAAACUCUUGUUGUUAGCUAUUGAAGCACGUCUUGGUGAUAGCAGAGAAAGUUCUCUAGCAAUUAACCCAGGACCCAAAAUCAAAAUAGAAAGAGCAACUCAAGGAUUCUUCAUUGCAGAAUCUGCUGAAGAAGUUAAAAGGGCUUUCUAUUAUUGCAAGACUUGCCAUGGAGUUGUGACAGAUGUUCGAGCAAUUAAAAAAUGUCGAUGUCGACCAGUUGCAUUAUUCCGAAAAGGAGCAUCCGCAGUUCUAGCAUUACAAAGAAGGUCUGAAUUGACACACACAGACAACCAAAUAGUUCUAUCAUCAGUGACAAACAUGCCAAACAAGAAAGAUAAAGCUGCCGCUAGUCCAGGAUCACAAAUGAAGAAAAUUUCAAACAUAUCAAACUACUCGAAAAUUCUGGAAGAUGUCGAGGAAGGUGAUGAUAGAAUGCUGGCAAUUUCUGAACAGCCACCUAAGGGAUCACGGCUAGCGAUGAAAUUACCUUCUUUCUGGCAACUAAAUCCUUCUCAGCCCACCAGUCCAUCUAAAGGAACUUUACCAGCUUUAGACAAAGGAAACUCUGCCAAUUUACCCCCUGAUAUGAAUGUUGUGCCUGGAGAGGAACCUCGAAAAUUUGAUUCGACAGGAAUGUUCCACUGGUGUCCAGAACGGUGUAUUGAAGAUGUUCUUAUGGAUCGAAAUCAAGCAGCACUAACUGUACUGUGUAACCAUGUUGUUGUGUGCUUAUUUGCCGAAGCAUCAUCUCCACUCAUUGGUUUGAGGAAUUUAGUCAUGCCUUUACGAGCAAGUAAUUUUCACUACCAUGAACUCAAACAUGUGGUUGUUGUUGGAGAUCUUGAAUAUCUCUGUAGAGAAUGGAAAAUGCUUCAGAACUUUCCAAAAAUAUCAAUAUUACCAGGCUCUCCUCUAAACAGAGCUAACUUACGUGCAGUAAAUAUUAAUCUGUGUGAUAUGUGUGUGGUUCUAUCAGCCAAAGAUAAAAACUUAGACGAUCAGCAUCUCGUAGAUAAGGAGGCCAUCCUCUGCUCACUGAAUAUCAAAGCUAUGACAUUUGAUGAUAGUAUUGGCCUUAUACAAGCUUCAGCCCCAACAGGUUUUCUUCCUCCUGGUUUUUCCCCAGUUGGUAAUCAACAACAUGCUCCUCGGAGAGGGUCACUAUGUGGAUCAAAUGUUCCACUCAUCACAGAAUUAGCUAAUGAUUCUAACGUCCAAUUCUUGGACCAAGAUGAUGAUGAUGACCCAGAUACUGAACUUUAUAUGACACAGCCUUUUGCCUGCGGUACUGCAUUUGCAGUAAGUGUUUUAGACUCUCUAAUGAGUACGAGUUACUUUAACGAUAAUGCACUAACAUUGAUCCGAACCUUAAUUACUGGUGGUGCUACUCCAGAACUAGAGCAGAUUCUGGCUGAAGGAGCAGGAAUGAGAGGUGGUUACAGCACUCCAAGUAUCUUGGCUAACAGAGACAGAUGUCGAGUUGCACAGAUUUCAUUAUAUGAAGGGCCACUAGCUCAAUAUGGGGAAAGUGGCCGUUAUGGAGAUUUGUUUUUAGCUGCUCUUCGAAAUUUUGGCAUAUUAUGUAUUGGUCUCUACCGGUUCCGGGAUACUAGCGCUACUGUGAAAAGUCCAUCAUCAAAACGUUAUGUUAUAACGAACCCAUCACAAGAAUUCCCUCUAUUAGCUACAGACCAGAUAAUUUGUGCUAUGGGGCCGUGUUCGCAAUAUCUCUCAACUGAUGACUCUAUAGACCUUCCAGAUAAACCUGAAGAGAGAUGGAGUAAAGCAGCACACUCAGCACACGAGUGUUGACCUAAAUUUUGUGAUUCUAUUGGAGACUUCACUUCAUCACAAGGUUUAUCUGAAAAUACUGUUUCUCUGAAAUAUUAAUACCAGUAUUCUGUCUUCAACCAUUCAACAUUCUUGAAAAAAAGAUGAAGAAAAGGAUGCCUCGUAACCUUAAAGCUGAAGGAAACUCCUGAAUGCUAUGAAAAAUUAUUUUGUAUAAUCUUUAACAGUUACUUUCUUUAAUGAGUGGUUCAACAACCAUACCUUCACCCACCACCCCAUACACACAAACCACCACCACCACCACCAAAACAAAAGCGUGUAUAAUAAAGUGAGGGAAGAGAGACUCAAGAUGAAGAGCAGAGGAGGGAAGUGUUGAAACAAGAAUAUGCUUAUUUAUCAUGACUUCUUAAAGACAGAAUUGAAGGACAUGGAGUUUUAUCGUUUCUGUCUCCUUCUUUCCUUCUAUCCCUUUCUCUCUCUCUCUUUUUCUUUCUCUCUACCAUUUCUGUCACAUCCUCCCCUCUCUCAUUCCCUCACAGACACACAUUCAGAAAUACUGUUUUAAAUAUGAUCUUUAAAAUACGUGUGACCCCCACCCCACUUCCAUCGCCUUUCCCAAAUCUUCUAUUAUGCUAUCAUCUACCAGAAAAUGCUUCUUAUCUCUCUCUCUGUCUCUGUCUUCCUCCCUCUCUAUCUCUUCUUUUUCUCCCUCUCUCUUUCUCUCUCUCUCUUUCUCUCUUCAUCUCUCUCUCUCUCUCUCUCUCUCUCUCUUAUUUAUUUUGUAUUCUUUUUUUUUUCAUUCUUCAAAGUUGAAAAUAUAAAACAACAAAAUGGAAAAUACUCACGUAAGGCACUUGACAUUUCUGAGCUCAUGGAAUUAUGUUCAAAAUUUUACUAGGAGUUUUUCUCUUUUUUUUUUCUGUUAUUGAGUGAAUUUGAAUUACACACUUGUAAACUGAGUGUGUGUGAAAGAAUGAAAAGGCUUUUUCCUGUUAUUGUUAUUUUUCUAAAACAUUGCCCUGUUCUGUGAUCAUCAGUCUGCAGUUAUCUGGAAAGAAAGACAAACAAGGUGGUUAAAACUAACAACGUGGUUUUAAGCAAAAAAACAAAACCCUUGGCAUUUGGAAUAUUUAAUGGCCAUCAAAUGAGGAAAUGAACACAUGAAAUCAUAACAAUAUCUUAUUUCUACUGUCAUUGUAAAUAUUUUCUUUAUAAGUUCUAAUGAUACAAAUAUAUAUGGCAAAGUAUAUAUGA
RNAcentral lists this unclassified non-coding RNA (6340 nucleotides) under Octopus sinensis (East Asian common octopus). Its description in RNAcentral is "calcium-activated potassium channel slowpoke, transcript variant X7". The record is from RNAcentral. Lineage: Eukaryota; Metazoa; Mollusca; Cephalopoda; Octopoda; Octopodidae.